RNAcentral lists this ribosomal RNA (388 nucleotides) under uncultured bacterium. RNAcentral describes it as "bacterial SSU rRNA". It matches the Rfam family "Bacterial small subunit ribosomal RNA", at positions 30 to 419 of the family's 1533-position model. The record is from RNAcentral.
AUUGAACGCUGGCGGCAUGCCUUACACAUGCAAGUCGAACGGCAGCACGGGAGCAAUCCUGGUGGCGAGUGGCGAACGGGUGAGUAAUAUAUCGGAACGUGCCCGGUCGUGGGGAUAACGUAGCGAAAGCUAUGCUAAUACCGCAUACGAUCUACGGAUGAAAGCGGGGGAUCGCAAGACCUCGCGCGAUUGGAGCGGCCGAUAUCAGAUUAGGUAGUUGGUGAGGUAAAGGCUCACCAAGCCGACGAUCUGUAGCUGGUCUGAGAGGACGACCAGCCACACUGGGACUGAGACACGGCCCAGACUCCUACGGGAGGCAGCAGUGGGGAAUUUUGGACAAUGGGCGCAAGCCUGAUCCAGCAAUGCCGCGUGCAGGAUGAAGGCCUUC